RNAcentral lists this ribosomal RNA (494 nucleotides) under uncultured bacterium. Its description in RNAcentral is "bacterial SSU rRNA". It matches the Rfam family "Bacterial small subunit ribosomal RNA", at positions 30 to 497 of the family's 1533-position model. The record is from RNAcentral.
AUUGAACGCUGGCGGCAGGCCUAACACAUGCAAGUCGAGCGGAAACGAGUUAUCUGAACCUUCGGGGAACGAUAACGGCGUCGAGCGGCGGACGGGUGAGUAAUGCCUGGGAAAUUGCCCUGAUGUGGGGGAUAACUAUUGGAAACGAUAGCUAAUACCGCAUAACGUCUACGGACCAAAGAGGGGGACCUUCGGGCCUCUCGCUUCAGGAUAUGCCCAGGUGGGAUUAGCUAGUUGGUGAGGUAAUGGCUCACCAAGGCGACGAUCCCUAGCUGGUCUGAGAGGAUGAUCAGCCACACUGGAACUGAGACACGGUCCAGACUCCUACGGGAGGCAGCAGUGGGGAAUAUUGCACAAUGGGCGCAAGCCUGAUGCAGCCAUGCCGCGUGUAUGAAGAAGGCCUCGGUUGUAAGUACGUUUACUAGUCGUGAGGAGGACGAAUACAGUUAAUAGACUGUGUUGUUUGUACGUUAGUCGACAGAAGAAGACACCGG